GAUGAACGCUAGCUACAGGCUUAACACAUGCAAGUCGAGCGACCGGCGCACGGGUGAGUAACACGUAUACAACCUCCCCUUUACUCGGGGAUAGCUUUUCGAAAGAACUAUUAACACAUGCUAUAAACGACGGGGAUGCGUUCCAUUAGGUUGUUGGUGCAGUAACGGCCCACCAAGCCUUCGAUGGCUAGGGGUUCUGAGAGGAAGGUCCCCCACAUUGGAACUGAGACACAGUCCAAACUCCGACGGGAGGCAGGAGUGAGGAAUAUUGGUCAAUGGGCGGUAGCCUGAACCAGCCAAGUAGCGUGAAGGAUGAAGGCUUAGGGGUCGUAAACUUCUUUUGUAUAAGAAUAUGUAUUAUAUGAAUAAGGAUCGGCUAACUCCGUGCCAGCAGCCGCGGUAAUUC
Molecule: ribosomal RNA, 406 nt
Filed under: uncultured bacterium
Lineage: Bacteria
Description: partial 16S ribosomal RNA
Rfam family: Bacterial small subunit ribosomal RNA
Source: RNAcentral